UGGAGAGACUUUACAGGCCAGAGAGGCAAGAAUCCUAAAAGUAUAUCACGUUCUUCAUAUAGGUGAUGAAGCUUGCAUUAACAAAAAAUGGAAGUCACUCAUAUACCCAGGAAGACAACAUCCUCAAACCCAUGCACAAGCACAGCUGUUUAUCAUGGAGCUGUUACGUACCCACUCUGUUAGCUCUGUAGCCUAAAUGGCUUAAAUAUACAGGAAAUUCUUUAAAUCUAGACUAUCAAAAUACACACCUUCCUUCAUUUGGUGUUAAUAGAGUUGUGUCAGUGGUUUUUUUGACAACUCACUUUUUCUUUAGGCAGCGUUAAGUGCCUUGAAACAGUUUUCAGAACAAGGACUGGAUCCAGUGGAAGGGACUAUGAAAGUUGAAAAUGGAUCACAUGAAAAACAAGUCAAGCAUCUGGGAGAGAAAGCAGACAAUAAACAGACUAACUCAGGCACCAUUGCUCAGGACUGCAAGGAUUCAAAGGCUGUCGUCUAAGAGCUUCCCAGCACCCACGGCUGCCACUGCAUCCUUAUAAACCUGUCAACACGCAAUAGGGUGUAUGUGUACAAGGAAAUGAAUGACUAAUACCAUUAUUUGAGUCUUAUGUGAAGACAACGCUAUUCUAACACAAGAGAUAGUAUACAUGGUACUGUUUAUUCAACUGUGGAAAAAAAUAAAAUUGAACAUUUCCCUUAAAACUUGAGAUCAGAGCAUAACUCAAUUGCCCAGAGGCAGAAGGAGUCUGAUCAUGUUACUGGAGGUUAAAAUAACAACUAAUUAACAAAAAGUGUUAGAAAAAAAAAGGGAAACUUUAAAAUUGAUUAAUAUUGAGGAAAACAAGUCAGCAUUGGUUCAGUUAUACAAUUUUUUCGUAGUGUAGUUUUAAGUUCAGCUUACUGUUUUUUAAAUAACGCUUGAAUAUUUUAAAAUUAACCAAUGACAGUGCUGUGAGAAUUGUAGUUGUUGUCUUCAUAUAUAGUCAUACAGCUUACCUUUUUAUGCAGACAUUAUGCAUUCAUCAUUCUAUAUGAAUAUGUAUGACUUUAAGAUGCACUACUCGGAGUUGUAUGCAAACAGAAGUUUAAAUCAUGACAAGUAUUUGCUUAACAUGAACAGAUGUUAGUUAUGAUCAGUCUUGAUAUACUCCAGGAAAAAAACAGAUAUGGUAUUUGAUUUUCCUUGCCAUAAUCAACUAAAGAGGCGUCUUGCCUCCAAGCAAAAUUUUCCCCUUCAAUUCUGCUCUGUUGUGUGAAGCACAUCUACACCCCAUUCUGUGUGUUGUAUCAACCCACCGUUUGCAUCAACUGAGUGUUUUUAAUCUCUGCAUUCGGACCAAGAGCAAAAGGUAGGACUUGCAACGUUAUCAAGCCAAGGAUGGAAAACUGUUGAUGUAAAGAUCAUUCUUUGUGAAAGGAGUGGCAGCAGAGAUAAGACCUGUGGCUGCUCUGUAGCAGCAUAUUUCUUUUAAGUGUGUGGCCAAAUGCAGUAAAACCACAUCAGUUCAUGUGUA
Pelecanus crispus (Dalmatian pelican) is the source of this 1511-nucleotide non-coding RNA. The record is from RefSeq and is a predicted model, not a curated record. Lineage: Eukaryota; Metazoa; Chordata; Aves; Pelecaniformes; Pelecanidae.